AUAAUAAGAGCAGCAUGUAUACUAAAAUUGGAAGGAUACAGAGAAGAUUAGCAUGGCCCCUGCACAAGAGUGACAUGCAAAUUUGUGAAGCGUUCCAUACUUUU
This is a small nuclear RNA of Delphinapterus leucas (beluga whale), 104 nucleotides long. The record is from Ensembl. Lineage: Eukaryota; Metazoa; Chordata; Mammalia; Artiodactyla; Monodontidae.